GGAUAACCCUGAUUUCCAUAUGCAGAUUUAUCUGCACUGACAGCCCCCUCUCCCUCUCUUAGUCUUUCUGUUUCCUCUCUCCCUCCCUCUCUCUCCCUCUUUCUCUUCCCCUCUCUUUCUCUUCCUCUCUGUCUUUUUGUCUCUCUUUAUGUCUAUUGCAUUAUGCUUGAAUAAUUUUCAGCUGGUUUUUUUUUUUUUCUUUCCUCUCGCACGCACAUGCUAAAAUAACUAGACAAAGAUGCAAGGUGGUUGCUGCAGUCCCUGUCUCUAGGACAAAACCAAGAAAGCUCGGGAUUGCAAUGCCACCUUUCCUUUUUUUUUUUUUCUUUUUCUUUUUUUUUUUCCCCACCCAUGCUCGGUGAUUAAACUUACCCAGGAUGGGGAAGAAAAAGGAGCUGGAAAUUAAAUAGGGUUAAGGAAAAAGCCCAUUGCAGCAGCUGCAGCCAGUGGUGUCUGCUGCCAGAUGUGCUAAGGUUCCUAGGGUCCUUGACACUAAAAGGCAGUAUUAAAAUAUUUGGAGACAAAAGCUGCAUCUUCAGUGAUCAUUUUCUUUAUUUAACAUGGCAGCAAGCACCAUGUGGGGGAAAAUCAACACGCUGGAUGUUCAAUUGGACUUUUCUCCUUUCUAGGAUGAAAGGAUGUUAUCUAUCCCGUGCCAAGAGGGAACUGAGGUGCAGGGGGAGGGGAAGAAAGUCUUCCAAACUAGCCCGCCAUGGUACUGGUCUCUUAGCCUGUAAGGCUUGUGCAUGA
Molecule: long non-coding RNA, 750 nt
Filed under: Calidris pugnax (ruff)
Lineage: Eukaryota; Metazoa; Chordata; Aves; Charadriiformes; Scolopacidae
Description: lncRNA (ENSCPUG00000009573.1)
Source: RNAcentral